CCUGUCGUUUCUUUUGGACACUCGGUAUGGGCAUUGUCAGUUUGGUACUUGCUCAACCUUAAAUUUUUGUUUAACUAAGUCUAAAAGAUCUUACAGAGGGCAUCAUAACUUUUAAAAUUUUGUAAAAUGUAUGUGCAGUUUGUGUAUUAUUGCCAUAUAGUGACCUACUUACUAAGUAUAACUAAGGCCUAGUUUGAUAAUGUGGUUGCUAAAAUCAUUAUUUUUAUAUUAUGAAAAAUUCUAAAAAAGCUCAAAAUUCUUACAAUCUUUUUCUUUUUUGUACUAUAAAAUUACGGUUGCAACUGCCACCAAAGAAACAUGUGGCUUGUGUAUUUAGCCACCACAUUAUCAAACAAGGCCUAAGUGCCUAUUUGUUCUGAUAUAUGGUAUAGUGUUAUUCGAUAAAGCAUUAGCUAAAUAAUGCUAUUAAAAAAAAAAAACUACAUAAAAAGCCACAAAGAGGUUCUCUCUAUAGCACAAUCAAAAACCCCAAAUGGGAGUUUCUAUUUUUGGGAGACAAAAAGAGGCCCUAAGUCAAAAGAAUUGCAGGAAAUUAACCAAGCAACAGUUAUUGUGUUCCUGUGUAUAUUCAGCAGUCAAUUACAGGAAUGUUCUAAUACUGAGAAAAAAAAAAAUAACAAGAAACAAAUCAGGCCAUUAUAGCCAAACUUUUCUCUGUUGCACAACUCUAAUUUUCAUUAUAUUUUGAACUAACUAGUUCAUUUCAGAGUUGAAACGAACCAAUCAAACUAAUUUCCAGGUAAAAUUAGAUGAUACUUUGAAGGCAUAUUUCGAAAAGGAGUACUACUCCUGAUGGGAGGAACUGAUUGUUUCCUUUGUUGUAUGUCCUCAAACGAAUGGCUUUUCCAUUUAAUUGGCAUUUUUAGGGAGAGCAUGCAGUAGAAGUUGCUAAGCACCUAGAAUGAAUAUCUUCUAAUAUUAACAAAAAGUCCUGCAGUUUUGACUUGUCCAAUUAGAGCUUGGAGCAAAAUAAAGGAGGGGCCCGUCACCCGUGAGAUGAAAUUAAGCGUAGCAGCUAAAUUAGGAAAAAUAUCCAGUGGUUGAGGUUACCAGAUUCUGUGUGUUGUCAGAUCAUCUUGACACAUCUUACUGCACAUUCGACAGUUGUUAAAUUUCCUGCGAAAAAGAGCUAGAACACAAGUAUUACUACAAAAUAAUUACUAUACGGUGACGACUACUAAAGUCGCCACCAAAUGUAUAAAAUAUCAUAUUGUCGCCACAUCUUGUAGUAGUGUAUUGAUGUUCGCAUGGCACUAGCUAGGGAGGGGAUAUUGAUUAUUGGACACAAUUGAGCACCCCCUCUACUCCUUUAAUGUAGGUUGCAAUAAUUGCUUUGCGCGCACACACACACUAUCUCUUAUCUCAAGUUGCCCUAUCAGAUUGUAAGUUUGAGUCUUUGAAAUCUAUCUUAUAGCUUUUCUCUAUAUAUAUUUUAGCUAAGGUAUCUAAAUUUCAUUUUUACAGCAGAAUAAACUUCUGGGUUUCAAAAUUUCCUUGGAUUUAUAGGAUUGCCGCAAUAGAAACACAAUGUGUUCUUUUCAUCCAAAAAGACUAACUUGGAUGAGAUUAGCUAUGGAAAGAGGAAUAACCUCCAUUCUCCACCGUAUAAUUUGUACUAAUGAUCAGUGAUUGUGGUUUAUUAUCUCAUAUGAUUUCUUACAAUAUAACCAAAAUCUCAUCAAUUGAAAUCAUAUUUGUUAAAAAUUUAUUUAUUAGUUCUCAUAACAUAUCCCUAACCAAAAAAAAAAAAAUCCCCUUUUGAAAACAAUUAAUUAUAUUUGCUCUUUUAUUGUUUAAUUAAGUGCUUAUUACUGAAAGGAGACACAUCGAAAUAAUCUUAUAUAUAUUUCUACCUAAAUUCAACUUUAAUUUGUUUUGAGCUCAAAAAUAUUCAAUUUCUAAGUAACUUGAAUUAAGAUGAAUAGUUUGGGUGAGAUUGGGGGAACCAAGUGGUAGCCCACUACUUUGAAAUAUUUAAUAUUCAAAAGUGGCUUCUCCAUGGAUCCAAUCUAAAGGAACCAGUUUCAACCCUAACCACCAAUUGGGGAAUUAAAUUCCUUGAAAUGGAAGAUCAAUGAUCAUGUAUUAAUUAGUUGUCAUUAAAUGAUCAUCUAAUUUUUGCUUUUAUGUGGCAAACAUUGUAUUUUUCAACUCAAUUAUCACAUUACUAAUUUAAAAAAUAAAUUCUUAAAGUGCUUAUAAGCAUCUACAUAUUACUCGACACGAAUUCCAAAUUUAAGUCCACAUAGAAUAAUACAACUUCAGACUCGAUCGUCCGCUGAUCUGAGACCUUCAAAGUAAUUAAACUGAAAAAGUUUGUGUUAAAACAUAACUAAAAUUAUAUAAUAAUAAUUUGAAAACAGAGUGUAAUUCCCACUGAGGAAUCCAUGAACCUACCAUCUGUGUAACUUUUAAUUCUUGUUUUCAGAAAAGUUUCUUUAAUUUUUAAUUGAUUCUUCCCAUUAAGUACCAUCACUCAACAUGGCCCAGGAGAAAUUAUUGCCUGCACCAAGUGUAUUUAGAUGAUUAAUGUUUUGAAAAAAACCAAAUUAUUAAUGUCUACGAGUUUCAGAAAUCUGUAACUUAAGCAUUAAAUAGUUUCGUAUAUGGAAACUGUUAUAAAAAAAAAGAAAAAAAAACUGAAUCACAAAAAAAAAAAAGAAAAAGAGAGAUACCUCUAAAAUUUACGACCUAAGGGAAAUAUUUUUUUCAACAAAAUUUAACACAUCAAAUGAAUUACGAUUCUGAUUUAAAUUCCCUGUAUCAGUAUUUUUUUAAAAAAGUGAUAAUAAUAAUAAUAAUAAUGCACCUGGUCCAAUCGAAAAUUUGGAGCGACCCAACGACGAACUGGACGGGUCAAUGGUAUACCUACCAAAUAAUGCUGGACUGUUCUUUGCGAUGCGUACCGAGUAAAUUACCAAACAACUUCCCCAACAUAUCUUCAAGCAAAAUGACCUUUUUAGGAUUUUAGCUCAUAUUAUUAUAUGAAAUAGUUAACAAUUCAAUCAACUUAUUGUAUUAAAAGAUUAAUACCAAAACAAUCUAAAUCUAAAUGACUCAACCUGAAUCUCAAUAAUUUAAACUUCAAGAUUUAGCAACACAAUUAAUAUUCAAUUUACAGUAACUGGCGUUCGUAUAUAGUGUCUAACUGAAUGUUUGAUUUAUUUAGUAGAACUUUCGAGAAGGAUAAACUAAUAAUGGAUUUUCUGAUACGAGACUAAUAACUCAAAAAAAUGCCCACUUAAAUGUUACCACCCGGACAUAACCCCGGAUGGGGGAGUUAUUUGGUAGCAUAAGAGCGUAGGAGGAGCAGCCAACUCACCACCGCGGCAGAGCAGGCGUGCGUGUCGUAAUCUUUCUUUCUUCCGUCUGUGCCCCCUCCCCUCCUCCGCCUGUCAUGCCGCCCACUCUCUCCCACUCCCCACCCCCAUCUUAUAAUUAUUCGGGUGGACAUCCAUUCUAGUCCUAGUCAAACAACAACGCUGCUGUAGUGCUGUGGUAAUUGUUAAAAUAAUUAAUUAUUAAUAGUAAAAUUUAAACAAAUAUAAUAAUAAUAAUAACAGUAAGUAAGGUAACGGUAGGAGCAGUAGUAGUAGUAAUUAAGGCAUCUCUCUCUCUCUCUCCUUUUAUUAUUAUUAUUAUUAUUAUUAUUGCCCUAAUAUAUUUCUUUUUCUCUUUUUUUUUGUGUGUGGCUUCAUCUGGGGAGUAGGAGGAGGAGGAGGAGGAGGAGGAGUAGAAGAGAAGGAGAAGAGGGGAAAUGGAGGAAGAUGGGGAGGAGGAGGUGGAGGAGUACCUGUUCAAGGUGGUGAUAAUCGGGGACUCGGCGGUGGGGAAGUCGAACCUGCUGAGCCGGUACGCGCGGAACGAGUUCAACCUGCACUCGAAGGCGACGAUCGGGGUGGAGUUCCAGACGCAGAGCAUGGACAUCGACGGCAAGGACGUCAAGGCCCAGAUCUGGGACACCGCCGGCCAGGAGCGCUUCCGCGCCGUCACCUCCGCCUACUACCGCGGCGCCUUCGGUGCCCUCCUCGUCUACGACAUCUCCCGCCGCUCCACCUUCCACAGCGUCUCCCGCUGGCUCCAGGAGCUCAACAGUUAAGUACUACUGCUGUGCUGUGCUGUGCUCUCUACUCUACUCUACUCUACUCUACUCUACUACCCCCCCCAUUUAGAUCACAUCAGAUCAGAUCAGAUCAGCUCAGAUCAGAUCAGAUCAGAUCAUUUCGAAAAAGACCACUCACUCGGCUGGUUGGCUGGUUGGUUGGUUGGUUGGUUGGUUGGUAGUGACGGGGAUCUGAGAGCGUGCUGCUCUCAGAUCACGGGAAUAAGCAGCCCCUUCUUCGCAGGAUGAUGCGUGCGUUUUGUUUUAGGGAAUUUUGCUGGGGAAUUGGGAAUCUGUAAAUCUGACUGACUGCUUUUUACAUCCACAAAAUCUAUUCUUCUUGAGAUCUGGAUCUGGUCGAGCUUCUACAAAUUAGUAUUAUUCAUGUUUUGUUGCAUUUUAGGCUGCUUGUGCCCAGAUUACAUAUAUUCUUAGCUUGCCAAGGUCUUGAUUUUUUUUUUUUUUAAAAAAAAAAAAAAAAAAAAAAAAACAUAACUCACUGCUUGUGCUUCAGAACAUCUUUCAUAUGUUCUGAUAUAUGUUGCAUAUAUCAGAACAUCUUUUGCUCGCUCUUUCAUUGAUGUUGUGCAAUCUAAAUCUAAAUUAAUUGGCGCUUGAAAAUGAGUGAUACUUUACCUUUGUUAUUAGCGUAUCGAGGGAGUAAUUAGCAUUACUCCGUAACUCACUUCUUGUUAUAGUUAAUCAUACCCCGCACACCAGCUACUCGUAGUGCGCUGCAACUAUCUAAUCUCAAGUUAAUCGCUCGCUACGUGGCAAUAUUGGGAACGAUUUCAUUGCAAAAUAGCUUGUGCUUCUUAAGAGAUUUUGGCACCAAAUAAAAUAAAGGAGCUGAUCUAUGGGACACCCCCCCCUCCAGAGAUUGGCUAUGACGGAAAUUAGAAAUUUUAGUUUUUAUUAGCUUCAGAUCAGACAUCCGUGAGCUGAGCUUUAAAGUACUGUGAUGAUGAUCAAUGCAGCACAUUCGGACACGACUAUCGCGAAGAUGCUGGUCGGCAACAAAUGCGACCUCGCGAACAUCCGAGAAGUGUCGGUAGAAGAAGGCAAAGCCCUCGCAGAAGCCGAAGGCUUGUUCUUUAUGGAGACUUCGGCUCUCGACUCGACGAACGUCAAGACGGCCUUCGAGAUUGUGAUCAAGGAGAUCUACAACAAUGUCAGCAGGAAGAUCUUGAACUCCGAUUCCUAUAAAGCCGAAUUGACCGUCAACAGGGUGAGCCUUAACGGCGACGGCACAGAUGAGCAGAAACCGACGAGCAGAUUCAGUUGCUGCUAAAAGGUUCAUCUCUUGGGUGUUUAGUAUUUUAAGUUCCAGAGACCGAAGCUUCCCUUGUUGUCGGAGGUAAAAGUUUUACAUGAUUAAAUUUGGGUUUUUGGUAUUGUUAAAUUGCUGUAUGAGUAUUCAUUUUAAGUUACAUAAUAUGGAGGAGAAGUGUUGUUUCCAGAGAUGAUUCAUUUUUUCUGCUGUGUAAACAAAGUCAUGUAACUCUAAAUGGUUUAAUAAAGUGGUUAUAUUUUAGAACUUCUUUAAGUCGAGGGGGCCAUAAAAUAAAAAAAAAAACUCCUUGUUACUGCUGUUAUCUGUUUGAGCAUCAUUUCCAGAUAUUAUAGGCUUAAUCUUGCAGGUGCUGAAACUGAUUAUAGAAUUCUACAGUUCUAAGGGGUUCAUUAUAUAUGUCUGAAUUGCUUAGUUGAAUAAUAUAUUACGGUAAAACUAUAUAGAGCCCUCCAACCAUUUUCUUUAACUAUUGACAGUGUUUAAAUUUUAAUUAUUUUAAUUAAAUUUAUUUUAUCAAUUAAGUUGGAUUUUUUUUUUUUGGGAAAACUUCAAAAACCCCCCUGUGGUUUCGUAGUUUCUCACUUUGCCCCCCUGUGGUUUAAAAUAUAUCAAUUUGCCCUCCUGUGAUUUUGUUUUUCUCUUUUUCUUAUCAAUUUCAUUAUUUUUUUUUCUUAAAUCAGUAAUAAAGUUAAAAUUAAAGGAUACUAAAGUGAAUAUUUGAUAAAUCUAGAUGGGUAUCUGAAAUUUUUUGUAUAUAAUUUAACAAAAUAUUAACGAAAAAGCUACCGAAAAGAUAAAAACGAAACCACAGGGGGGGCAAAUUGAUACACUUUAAACCACAGGGGGGCAAAGUGAGAAACUACGAAACCACAUGGAGGGUUUUUGAAGAUUUCCCCUUUUUUUUUCAAAUCUAACAGUAAUUCUACAAAAAUUAACUGUUCUAUUGAUGAAACUGCAGAUUUUUCAAAUGUACCUUGGAGCUCAAAAUGCAUACGCUCUAACUUGAAAAUACUGUUUCCACUCCGAGAGAAACAUUUUUGAGGUUGUGAGUUAGCUAUUAACGCUUCUUCAAUUAGCUCAAUUUUUAGGGGGCAUUUGGUCCAGCGAUCGUUGAUCAGGAGGCUGUUUAAAGCCGGUUUGAUCCUGACCGUGAAAUGUGCAUCUCAUCUGACCUUGAUGAUUGUAUCGUGUGAAUUGUGAUCAGAUUUCACAUGUGGAUUGGGAUUCAGAGCGCUCACAAAAGAGGAGAAGGCUCGUUUAUUUAUUUCUUUAUUUAUUAUUUUAUUUAAUUCAGAAGGCUCAUUUAUUUUAUAUAUUUAUUUAUUAUUUUAUUUAAUCCGGGCGAAAGUUUAGUCCCACAUCGGAUGUUUGCCAUGCAGUGUUCGAGUGAGAGACUUUUAAAAGAGAUCGACGGUCGAACACUGGACCAUACUUACCUGGACGGGGUCUAUGGGCGAUCAAGAAGGCUCAUGGCCUAGGCCCGCGGCUCCCAUUGCACCUGGGGAGUGCGCUGGCCUACCAUCUCCCCAAGUGGGAGAGUGGACGUCAUAAUUUGUGGUAGAGGGGGUACGCGCACGCGCGGCCCCUACCAAUGACAAAUUUAAAUUU
Molecule: long non-coding RNA, 7025 nt
Filed under: Ananas comosus (pineapple)
Lineage: Eukaryota; Viridiplantae; Streptophyta; Magnoliopsida; Poales; Bromeliaceae
Description: long non-coding RNA (ACOM_LNC008300)
Rfam family: U1 spliceosomal RNA (bases 6846-7005)
Source: RNAcentral